CGGUCUGUUUAGUCUAAUGUGAAAGCCCACGGCUUAACCGUGGAACGGCAUUGGAAACUGACAGACUUGAAUGUAGAAGAGGAAAAUGGAAUUCCAAGUGUAGCGGUGGAAUGCGUAGAUAUUUGGAGGAACACCAGUGGCGAAGGCGAUUUUCUGGUCUAACAUUGACGCUGAGGCUCGAAAGCGUGGGGAGCGAACAGGAUUAGAUACCCUGGUAGUCCACGCCGUAAACGAUGAGUGCUAAGUGUUGGG
Molecule: ribosomal RNA, 252 nt
Filed under: Dolosigranulum pigrum
Lineage: Bacteria; Bacillati; Bacillota; Bacilli; Lactobacillales; Carnobacteriaceae
Description: partial 16S ribosomal RNA
Rfam family: Bacterial small subunit ribosomal RNA
Source: RNAcentral